UCUCUGGUGGUCCAGUGGUUGGGACUCUGUGCUUCCAAUGCAGAGGGCCUGGGUUUAAUCCUUGGUUGGGGAA
RNAcentral lists this transfer RNA (73 nucleotides) under Ovis aries (sheep). It matches the Rfam family "tRNA". Rfam says of the family: Transfer RNA (tRNA) molecules are approximately 80 nucleotides in length. Lineage: Eukaryota; Metazoa; Chordata; Mammalia; Artiodactyla; Bovidae. The record is from Rfam by way of RNAcentral.